GAGGGGGAGCCAGGAAGCUGGGUAGCUAACUGCCUGUUUGCCCACCACUACACAGUAUCAGGCAGAAAGCAAGAGUUGCCUCUUCAAUGCCUUCUUCAGAUCGCACAGCAAGUAAUCUGCCAAGAAGUUGCUCAACUGAUCCCAGCCAUACCUAAAUAAAGAAGCAGUCCAUGACGUGAAGACUGGGCUGAACCUAUCUCCAGUCGGCCCUAGAGCCAGCACCCUUAGUAGCAGCAAGAAUCUGCUCUUCCAGAUACAAUCACACACACACAGUUGCAGCCACAGAGAAGCUGGGGCAGGAUCCCUUGAGCCCAGCCUGUGCUACACAGAAAAGCUCAUAAGCUCUGUCAUCUAAGAGUCAAGUGAAAUGUGAGCUUUCAAAGACAAAGUCUACAAUCCCAACCAUCACAGGACCACCACUGAAGUGGACCGUCUCUGGAACCCAUCCUCCCAUCUUGGGGAAAGGGCUUGGAGGUAGGGGGUCAGGGGCAAAUAAACAGACUCAUCCAAAAGCUA
Long non-coding RNA from Mastomys coucha (southern multimammate mouse), 516 nucleotides. RefSeq lists it as uncharacterized. NCBI's taxonomy places the organism in Eukaryota, Metazoa, Chordata, Mammalia, Rodentia, Muridae. The transcript is spliced from 2 exons. The record is from RefSeq and is a predicted model, not a curated record.